CACGUAGUUAGCCGUGACUUUUCUGGCGGGGCACCAUCAGUCAGCACCCAUUUCCUGAUGCUGCCUUUUUUCCCCCGCAACAGAGCUUUACGACCCGAAGGCCUUCUUCACUCACGCGGCAUCGCUCGUUCAGGCUUGCGCCCAUUGACGAAAAUUCCCUACUGCUGCCUCCCGCAGGAGUCUGGGCCGUGUCUCAGUCCCAAUGUGGCCGUCCGCCCUCUCAGGCCGGCUAUGCAUCAUCGUCUUGGUGGGCCUUUACCCCGCCAACCAACUAAUGCACCGCAGGUCCAUCCGCGCCCCAUCCCCUAAAGGAUGUUUCACAGAAAGAAGAUGCCUCCUUCUGUACAUCGGGAUUUGUUCUCCGUUUCCAGAGCGUAUUCCCGGUGCACGGGCAGGUUCCCUACGUGUUACUCACCCGUUCGCCACUAGACGACCGAAGGUCUCUCGUUCGACUUGCAUGUAUUAGGCAUGCCGCCAGCGUUCACGUCCUGAGCCAGGACUACUAAA
RNAcentral lists this ribosomal RNA (507 nucleotides) under uncultured Allobaculum sp. RNAcentral describes it as "partial 16S ribosomal RNA". The record is from RNAcentral. Lineage: Bacteria; Bacillati; Bacillota; Erysipelotrichia; Erysipelotrichales; Erysipelotrichaceae.